RNAcentral lists this ribosomal RNA (423 nucleotides) under uncultured bacterium. RNAcentral's name for it is "bacterial SSU rRNA". It matches the Rfam family "Bacterial small subunit ribosomal RNA", at positions 362 to 776 of the family's 1533-position model. The record is from RNAcentral.
UCUUCCGCAAUGGACGAAAGUCUGACGGAGCAACGCCGCGUGAGUGAAGAAGGCCUUCGGGUCGUAAAACUCUGUUGCUGGGGAAGAACAAGUGCCGAUCGAACAGUGCGGCGCCUUGACGGUACCCUGCCAGAAAGCCACGGCUAACUACGUGCCAGCAGCCGCGGUAAUACGUAGGUGGCAAGCGUUGUCCGGAAUUAUUGGGCGUAAAGCGCGCGCAGGCGGCGUCUUAAGUCUGAUGUGAAAUCUUGCGGCUCAACCGCAAGCGGUCAUUGGAGACUGGGAGGCUUGAGUGCAGAAGAGGAGAGUGGAAUUCCACGUGUAGCGGUGAAAUGCGUAGAGAUGUGGAGGAACACCAGUGGCGAAGGCGGCUCUCUGGUCUGUAGCUGACGCUGAGGCGCGAAAGCGUGGGGAGCAAACAGG